GAUGAACGCUCGCUGUGUGCCUAAUACAUGCAUGUUGAACGGGAUGUAGCAAUACAUUCAGUAGCGAAUGGGUGAGUAACACGUACCUAACCUACCUUUAAGACUGGGAUAACUAUUGGAAACAAUAGCUAAUACCGGAUAUAGUUAUUUAUCGCAUGAUGAGUAAUAGAAAGGAGCUUCACAGCUUCACUUAAAAAUGGGGGUGCGGAACAUUAGUUAGUUGGUAGGGUAAUGGCCUACCAAGACGAUGAUGUUUAGCCGGGCCGAGAGGCUGUAUGGCCACACUGGGACUGAGAUACGGCCCAGACUCCUACGGGAGGCAGCAGUAAGGAAUUUUCCACAAUGAGCGAAAGCUUGAUGGAGCGACACAGCGCGCAGGAUGAAGUUCUUCGGAAUGUAAACUGCUGUUAUAAGGGAAGAAAAAAUAGAAUAGGAAAUGAUUUUAUCUUGACGGUACCUUAUUAGAAAGCGACGGCAAACUAUGUGCCAGCAGCCGCGGUAAUACAUAGGUCGCAAGCGUUAUCCGGAAUUAUUGGGCGUAAAGCGUCCGUAGGUUUUUUGCUAAGUCUGGAGUUAAAUGCUGAAGCUCAACUUCAGUCCGCUUUGGAUACUGGCAAAAUAGAAUUAUAAAGAGGUUAGCGGAAUUCCUAGUGAAGCGGUGGAAUGCGUAGAUAUUAGGAAGAACACCAAUAGGCGAAGGCAGCUAACUGGUUAUAUAUUGACACUAAGGGACGAAAGCGUGGGGAGCAAACAGG
Molecule: ribosomal RNA, 755 nt
Filed under: uncultured Mycoplasma sp.
Lineage: Bacteria; Bacillati; Mycoplasmatota; Mollicutes; Mycoplasmatales; Mycoplasmataceae
Description: bacterial SSU rRNA
Rfam family: Bacterial small subunit ribosomal RNA
Source: RNAcentral